Molecule: non-coding RNA, 93 nt
Filed under: Rothia terrae
Lineage: Bacteria; Bacillati; Actinomycetota; Actinomycetes; Micrococcales; Micrococcaceae
Description: S-adenosyl methionine (SAM) riboswitch
Rfam family: SAM (S-adenosyl methionine) riboswitch aptamer
About the family: SAM-IV is a mRNA element that regulates gene expression via direct sensing of S-adenosylmethionine (SAM or AdoMet). SAM-IV riboswitches share conserved nucleotide positions with the previously described SAM-I riboswitches sequence analysis and molecular recognition experiments suggest that SAM-I and SAM-IV riboswitches share similar ligand binding sites, but have different scaffolds.
Source: RNAcentral
AUCAAGAGACCCAGUGAAAAGCUCUGGCUAGCUGGGCGGCAACCCUCUCCCGUAGCGGGGUGCCCCAGAUGAAGAUCAGGUUCGACGCGUCCU